Fragaria vesca subsp. vesca is the source of this 346-nucleotide RNA transcript. It is a transcript of the gene named ubiquitin-conjugating enzyme E2 7-like, with no coding region annotated. The record is from RefSeq and is a predicted model, not a curated record. NCBI's taxonomy places the organism in Eukaryota, Viridiplantae, Streptophyta, Magnoliopsida, Rosales, Rosaceae. The transcript has 4 exons.
AUGACGUUGGUGGGAGAUCUGCACAGAGCAGCCACGUCUCCGCCGUCGAGAGGUGAGGGAGGAUUUUUCAACGCCAUCAUGAGCUUUCCUUCUAAUUACCCGAACAGCCCUCCAACAAUGAAGUUUACUUCAGAGAGUUAUGGCAUCCCAAUGUUUAUCCUGAUGGGCGCAUUUGCAUUUCCAUUCUUCAUCCUCCUGCUGAUGAUCCAAAUGGCUAUGAGCUUGCAAGUGAGCGUUGGGCACCUGUGCAUACGAAGGAAUGGAGAGAUCGAAGAGAUGAUUUCAAGAGGAAGGUCGGUCGUUGCGUGAGAAAGUCACAAGAGAUGUUGUGAAAUAUGAUCUGCAG